CCUACGGGUGGCAGCAGUGAGGAAUAUUGGUCAAUGGGCUUACGCCUGAACCAGCCAAGUCGCGUGAGGGAAGACUGCCCUAUGGGUUGUAAACCUCUUUUGUCAGGGAGCAAUUGGCGCUACGUGUAGCGUUAUCGAGAGUACCUGAAGAAAAAGCAUCGGCUAACUCCGUGCCAGCAGCCGCGGUAAUACGGAGGAUGCGAGCGUUAUCCGGAUUUAUUGGGUUUAAAGGGUGCGUAGGCGGAAUGCCAAGUCAGCGGUAAAAGCCCGGGGCUCAACCCCGGCGAGCCGUUGAAACUGGCGGGCUGGAGUUGGAGAGAAGUACGCGGAAUGCGCGGUGUAGCGGUGAAAUGCUUAGAUAUCGCGCAGAACCCCGAUUGCGAAGGCAGCGUACCGGCUCCACACUGACGCUGAGGCUCGAAAGCGUGGGGAGCAAACAGGAUUAGAUACCCCAGUAGUC
Molecule: ribosomal RNA, 460 nt
Filed under: uncultured bacterium
Lineage: Bacteria
Description: partial 16S ribosomal RNA
Rfam family: Bacterial small subunit ribosomal RNA
Source: RNAcentral